GGUGGGGAAGGAAGAUUAAACAAGUUAAAAGGAACAUAAAGUCUAAAUUCCUAAUCUGCGAUUAGAGAUGGUAGAAGGGCUCCGGCCGGCCGGGCUCGUCGGGCUUGGUAAGAGCUAAGGUCUCGAAAAUCAAGGCCGACCAUGGACCUGGGCUUACAACAAUAAUAAUCAGGCCCAGCAACCCACAAAAUUUUAUAAAUUUUAAUGUACUCCCAACUCUUUUGUGCAGCCAGCACUUAUACACCCCAGCGUAUUUCUUCAGGCAAACCUUAUCAUUUUUAAAAUUUUCUGAAAAACAAAAACCGGGCCAGCCUAAACUCCGGUUCAACCGUCCCAUUUUGCCAACCAAAUUUGUGCUUAAAGAAACAACCGACAUGGGGCAUAUGACACGCUUUGCAAAUCUCACCCGGCAACAUUAAGAUGAGCAAAGUAUUUGUAUGAGUUGAUCGGUUGUAUUUACGAUAGGGACACAAAAAAUUUCUAAAUAAUCAACAUGAAUCUUAAUGAAAUUAGAGCAUUCCACUCACUGAGGUGUGCAGUUGGUUUGGUAUACAAAAUCAAAAAUGAAAUAUUCAAGGAAUUUUUCAAAUAAAAAAUAAAAUAUUUAAGGAAACUAAAUUAAUCAUCCAUAAGUCUAUGAGCAUAAUAUGAGUUUCUAGAAGACUAGAGACUAAUGAGAAGGGCUUGAUUAACUAAAAUAUGAUCUGAAGUUGUAUCAAUCGCAGUGGUCCAGAUGAUGGCAAGGUGAAAUUAGUAAAAUUUCUUAUGUUAAGACAACUACAAGAAUAGAAUUUAUUCAUACAUCUAAAAAUGACGAUGGGAUGCUGGUUUUGAUAGAAAAAAGAGUAAAACAAAUAUUAAAUUAUUUUCUAAAAAUUGAAAAUAUAAUGAUGAGAUGCUGCUUCGAUAGAAGAAUGAGUAAAAAGAAUGAAAAGACAGCUUUUAGAAUAAGAAAUGAAAAAUGAGCAAAAAGAAUCAAAUGUUAGGUUUUAGAAAGAGAAGCAACUUUUGAAUAUUGAUAACUUUGAUCUUUGGGUGCGUUUGGCACACUGUAUUGUAUUAUAUUGUAUUAUAUUAUUUUAAUAUUGGUGUAUUAUAUUAUACUGUAUUGCAUUAGUACUGUAUUAUAAUAACGUUGUACAAUGUUUGGUGAUAUACUAUACUGUAUUAAUUUUUUUUGUGAUUAAUUUAAAUUAUAUAUUUUAAAAAAUAAUAUUUAUUAAUACUUAAAAAAAUAAAUAUGUGGUCUUAAAUUUUAAAAUUUUAAUAAAUUUUUUAGUGUAAAUAUUAAAUUUUAUUGAGAAAUGAUGACAACUAUUAUUUUUUUAAAAAAAAUUUUCUAAACUCAAAUUUAGAAAUGAAUAAGGGUUGUACAACAAUUGUCUUUUUAUAAACAAAAUUCUUAAAAAAUAAAAAUAAUUACCAAUACUAAUUCCCAUAGCACAAUAAAAUAAAAAUUUUGUGAAGGCAUUCAAUCUCAUCUCAAACAAAUCCCAUCUAUCAUUGUCGUCUUUAACCAAUCUACAAAAUCAAACCUCCUGAAUCAAACAUAGAAAGGAGCUAAGGGAGGUAGCGGCAGCUAUUAUUGGUUAUAUGAAGAUGACGAAGAAAUGGAGGAGAAGAUGACAAACAAGAAACUGAGAAGAGGAAGAAUCAGACAAGACAAAAAAGAAGAGGGGAAAAGGAAAAAAUAAUAAUAAAAUAAAAAUGAGAGAGGGAAACAGAUAUGACGAAGAAGAAGAGGGGAAAAGGGAAAAAAAUAAAAGAAAAAAAGAGAGAGAGUGAGUGAGAAUUAGAGAAGACGAAAAAGAAGAGGAGAAAAGGAAAAAAAAAAGAGAGAAAAACAGAGAAGAUGAAGAAGAAGAGGGGGAAAGGAAAAAAAUAAAACAAAAAAAGAGAGAGAGUAAUAGGGAAGACGAAGAAGAAGAGGGGAAAGGGAAAAAAAAAGAAAAAAGAAAGAGAGAGAAAUAGAGGAGACGAAGAAGAAGAAGCUAAUGCAAUAAAAACCAGAGUCUCACUCGGUUUCCGUUAUGCGGGGUUUCCCGCAUUAAUUUUUUUCUUAAUGCAAUACCGGAGAAGUGCCAAACAUCGUAUUGUUAUAUUUUAAUGCAAUGCAGAGUGCUAAUACAAUGUAAUGCGGCAUGCUAAACAUGGCCUUUAAGUUUUAUAAAAUUUGAUAGUUUG
Molecule: long non-coding RNA, 2184 nt
Filed under: Citrus x clementina
Lineage: Eukaryota; Viridiplantae; Streptophyta; Magnoliopsida; Sapindales; Rutaceae
Description: Citrus clementina (C. clementina) long non-coding RNA (CCLE_LNC004329)
Source: RNAcentral